AUACAUUUAUAGUUCAAAUCUCGUAUAAAUUUGGGAAUAUGGCCCAAAAGUUUCUACCAGGCUACCGUAAACAGCUUGACUACGAGGUAAUAGGAACUAGGU
This is a non-coding RNA of Bacillus sp. CHD6a, 102 nucleotides long. The record is from Rfam. NCBI's taxonomy places the organism in Bacteria, Bacillati, Bacillota, Bacilli, Caryophanales, Bacillaceae.